AAAUGAUUAUUAAUCGAUUUGUAUUAACUACCGAACAGAAAUUAUGCAUACUCGGCUUAAUCCGGGCCGAGAUCCGCGAUAACCUGCUUUGUCAAAUACACAUAUAUAAAUUUACUUACAUAUACGCAUAGUCGCGAUCCCCUCGUUUUACCGGUUAAUCCUCUUCUAAAGUUAAACGCAGACUGCAAGAAGAAACGUCUGAACGAAUAUAAAAGCGCGAUAAACGACCUCAGGAAAAUCCUGGCAGUGGGCAGAGCGAACCUACCAAGGAUCGGUAACGAACGAACAGCCAAUCACGAGAUUGGUUCCCGUGAUUGUUGUGGGCGGCUAUUUGGCGGGCAAGGUGGUGGCUUUGGUUUAUCAUCGCAACAACAUGGCCUACAAGGAUCCUAUAAAUAAUAUUUUUCUUAUGAAUAUUUCUAUAUUUGUAUUUAAAAAACUGACGUAAUAAUAAUUAAAUGAAAAUUAAGAUAUGAUUUAAAAAAUACGAAAGAAAGAAAGAAAAAAAGGAGCGGUACUAAAGAAAAAAUGACUCAUUUUAUGAGAAAUACCUUUGAUCAUGUAAAAAUAAUAAAUAUUAAUAAACUCUCCCUUUCUCAUUUUUAAAUUAUUAAAGAUAUAUGCCAUAUAUGUUUACAUUAUCUUUAUCUAUCUAUCUAUCUAUCUAUAUAUAUAUAUAGAUAUAUAGAU
RNAcentral lists this unclassified non-coding RNA (690 nucleotides) under Bombus terrestris (buff-tailed bumblebee). RNAcentral's name for it is "misc RNA ENSBTSG00005037755.1". Lineage: Eukaryota; Metazoa; Arthropoda; Insecta; Hymenoptera; Apidae. The record is from RNAcentral.